RNAcentral lists this ribosomal RNA (506 nucleotides) under uncultured bacterium. RNAcentral's name for it is "partial 16S ribosomal RNA". It matches the Rfam family "Bacterial small subunit ribosomal RNA", at positions 29 to 523 of the family's 1533-position model. The record is from RNAcentral.
AGUGAACGCUGGCGGUAGGCCUAACACAUGCAAGUCGAACGGCAGCACAGAGGAGCUUGCUCCUUGGGUGGCGAGUGGCGGACGGGUGAGGAAUACAUCGGAAUCUACUCUGUCGUGGGGGAUAACGUAGGGAAACUUACGCUAAUACCGCAUACGACCUACGGGUGAAAGCAGGGGAUCUUCGGACCUUGCGCGAUUGAAUGAGCCGAUGUCGGAUUAGCUAGUUGGCGGGGUAAAGGCACACCAAGGCGACGAUCCUGAGCUGGUCUGAAAGGAUGAUCAUCCACACUGGAACUGAGACACGGUCCAGACUCCUACGGGAGGCAGCAGUGGGGAAUAUUGGACAAUGGGCGCAAGCCUGAUCCAGCCAUACCGCGUGGGUGAAGAAGGCCUUCGGGUUGUAAAGCCCUUUUGUUGGGAAAGAAAUCCAUCUGGUUAAUACCCGGGUGGGAUGACGGUACCCAAAGAAUAAGCACCGGCUAACUUCGUGCCAGCAGCCGCAGUAA